GAUGAAGAACGUAGCGAAAUGCGAUAAGUAAUGUGAAUUGCAGAAUUCAGUGAAUCAUCGAAUCUUUGAACGCACAUUGCGCCCCUUGGUAUUCCGGGGGGCAUGCCUGUUCGAGCGUCAUUAUAACCCUCAAGCCUAGCUUGGUGUUGGAGCAUGCUACCUAAGCAGCUCUUAAAAUCAGUGGCAGUGCCCUUCGGCUCUAAGCGUAGUAACUUCUCUCGCUAUGGAACCCGGAGGGUACGCGCCAGAAUCCCCAACUUUCUAUGGUUGACCUCGGAUCAGGUAGGGAUACCCGCUGAACUUAAGCAUAUCAAUAAGCGGAGGA
Molecule: unclassified non-coding RNA, 325 nt
Filed under: soil metagenome
Description: partial contains 5.8S ribosomal RNA, internal transcribed spacer 2, and large subunit ribosomal RNA
Rfam family: 5.8S ribosomal RNA (bases 1-120)
Source: RNAcentral